This 357-nucleotide unclassified non-coding RNA is filed under the name soil metagenome. RNAcentral describes it as "partial contains 5.8S ribosomal RNA, internal transcribed spacer 2, and large subunit ribosomal RNA". The stretch from base 1 to 120 matches the Rfam family "5.8S ribosomal RNA", at positions 35 to 154 of the family's 154-position model. The record is from RNAcentral.
GAUGAAGAACGCAGCGAAAUGCGAUAAGUAAUGUGAAUUGCAGAAUUCAGUGAAUCAUCGAAUCUUUGAACGCACAUUGCGCCCGCUGGUAUUCCGGCGGGCAUGCCUGUUCGAGCGUCAUUUCAACCCUCAAGCUCUCCGGAGUUUGGUGUUGGGGCGCCUGGGGCUUUUCGACCUCAGGGACCUCAAGUCCAUCGGCGGGACCGCCAGGACACUGAGCGCAGUAGUAUUAUUUCGCUCGGUAGGAUCUUCCACGGCGGGUCGAUCUGGCCGCUAAACCCCCCAAUUCUCACCAAAGGUUGACCUCGGAUCAGGUAGGAAUACCCGCUGAACUUAAGCAUAUCAAUAAGCGGAGGA